UGUCUGUCUGUCUAUGCUAUGUGUCGUCUUCCAUGUCUAUGUGUCUAUUACCUGUCUAUGUCUUUGUGAUUGCCCACAUGACUCAACUUUUGUCUGUGUCAACUCAACUUACUCCUGUCGUCUGUCCUUGUCGUUUGACCGUGUCGUCUUGCUGUGUCAAUGCUGCAUGUGUCAUGACUAUGUGUUGUUUCACUCUGUCGUUGCUAUGCGUCGUUGUUAUGCGUUGUUGCUAUGCGUCGUUUCCCUCUGUCGUUGCUUUAUGUUGUUUCACUCUGUCGUUAGCAAGAGCUAACGUUAGCUAGCAAGAGUUCCGGCAGUUGAUGUCACGCGAUCCCAGCAUGCACCAGUCAAUAUCAAAACACUCACUGCCAUCGGAGCUGAGCCAGAGUCAGCUAGCUACGUUACUAGCUAGCUAGUUGCACCUAUUGUAGAUAGCUAGCUAGAUAAAUGGAUCAUUUAUUGAUCCCAAGGGGAAAUAAUUUGCUGCCUAUUUCAAUAAACGCCUUGAUUCAGCAUGGUGGAUAGCUGCUGUGCGCCGGGAUGCCAGAACCAUCGGAAAAAAGAUAAUGGAUAGCAUGAGAUUCCUAGCUAAAGAUCCCGAGAGAAGAAGUAAAUGGAUUGCUUCCAUAAAACGUGCUAGAAGCAGACGGAACCAAACCGAGCCAUGGGAGCCCACAAACAAUGGAUUUCGGUUAUGCUGUGACCACUUCAUAUCAGAGAAAAAGAGUGACAACCCUCUGUCACCUGACUACGUUCCUUCAAUCUUCAAUCAUGUUCCAUCCCCGGAGAAGA
Perca flavescens (yellow perch) is the source of this 792-nucleotide long non-coding RNA. RefSeq lists it as uncharacterized. NCBI's taxonomy places the organism in Eukaryota, Metazoa, Chordata, Actinopteri, Perciformes, Percidae. The record is from RefSeq and is a predicted model, not a curated record. The transcript has 2 exons.